Long non-coding RNA from Hemicordylus capensis (graceful crag lizard), 265 nucleotides. RefSeq lists it as uncharacterized. The transcript is spliced from 2 exons. Lineage: Eukaryota; Metazoa; Chordata; Lepidosauria; Squamata; Cordylidae. The record is from RefSeq and is a predicted model, not a curated record.
CUGCAUCUGUACAGGAGGCCUCUAUCAAAAUACGCUGAGGGUGUGUCUUCUAUAGCUCCUCAUGUUCUCCUCAAAACAAUGAAAGAGGCUGCUGAACUAGGCAGGGGUCGGCUGAAGAGUUCCGCCUCCCACGGGUUAGGAGGCCAAGAUGUCUGCUUUGGACCUUUUCCCUAGCCAACAGGAUGUUUUUAUUUCUCUCACCAGCGAGUAUAUCCAUGCCACAUUCCCUUAUCCCACUUCCUCAAUAAAACUGUCCUUUCAUUUA